This 250-nucleotide ribosomal RNA is filed under the name uncultured bacterium. Its description in RNAcentral is "partial 16S ribosomal RNA". It matches the Rfam family "Bacterial small subunit ribosomal RNA", at positions 525 to 775 of the family's 1533-position model. The record is from RNAcentral.
ACGGGGGGGCAAGCGUUGUUCGGAAUUACUGGGCGUAAAGGGUUCGUAGGUGGCUCGUUAAGUCAGACGUGAAAUCCCUCAGCUUAACUGGGGAACUGCGUCUGAGACUGAUGAGCUCGAGUGCAGGAGAGGAACGCGGAAUUCCAGGUGUAGCGGUGAAAUGCGUAGAUAUCUGGAGGAACACCGGUGGCGAAGGCGGCGUUCUGGACUGCAACUGACACUGAGGAACGAAAGCCAGGGGAGCAAACGG